UACGAAGGGGGCUAGCGUUGCUCGGAAUUACUGGGCGUAAAGCGCACGUAGGCGGCUUUCUAAGUCGGGGGUGAAAUCCUGGAGCUCAACUCCAGAACUGCCUUCGAUACUGCGGGUCUCGAGUCCGGGAGAGGUGAGUGGAAUUCCUAGUGUAGAGGUGAAAUUCGUAGAUAUUAGGAAGAACACCAGUGGCGAAGGCGGCUCACUGGCCCGGUACUGACGCUGAGGCGCGAAAGCGUGGGGAGCAAACAGG
This 253-nucleotide ribosomal RNA is filed under the name uncultured bacterium. Its description in RNAcentral is "partial 16S ribosomal RNA". It matches the Rfam family "Bacterial small subunit ribosomal RNA", at positions 524 to 776 of the family's 1533-position model. The record is from RNAcentral.